RNAcentral lists this small RNA (127 nucleotides) under Marmota monax (woodchuck). Lineage: Eukaryota; Metazoa; Chordata; Mammalia; Rodentia; Sciuridae. The record is from RNAcentral.
GCUGGGUGUGGUGGUGCAUACCUGUAAUCCCAGUAGCUUGGGAGGCUGAGGCAGGAGGAUCUCGAGUUUAAAGCCAACUUUAGCAAAAGCAAGGCACACUAAGCAACUCAGUGAGGCCCUGUAUCUA